AAAUGAUUUAGCAAUUGCAGUGGAGUAACAUGGCAAAGACAUCAUCAGGACAUCUAACAUUUUAGAAUUGCAACCGCAUGUAAGUGGAGAGGUAAUUGUAAUGUGAAGCAAUUUUACGAAGGUAAUGAUUAUCUAGACUCUGCAAAGGCAUCAUGUAAUUGUGUACUCAGAGAGUGAGACAACUUAGUUGUGAGAUCAAACAAUUAAUUUUGAAUCCUCAUGUCUUAGAAAUGUUUACAUAAAUCUGAACACAAUCAAAAUAUUUUACUAAAAAUAUGUUCCCAAACUUCAUACUAAGUUGCUACAAUUUAAUUUUAAUAUAGUUUCUAUCAUAUAUAUCAUUCAACUUGACAAUUCCAUAGUGAUAAUUCAACACCUAGACUUCCCAACAAUUUAUUUUCAGCAAUAAGCAGUAAAGCAGGAAAAAGAGAACUACA
This 437-nucleotide unclassified non-coding RNA is filed under the name Hevea brasiliensis (rubber tree). The record is from RNAcentral. Lineage: Eukaryota; Viridiplantae; Streptophyta; Magnoliopsida; Malpighiales; Euphorbiaceae.